GAAAAAUAUUAGCCUAUUAGGGGCAACCAUAUGGGGAUUCACUUCAGUUUGAAGGUCAAACCAAAACCAAACUAAAUACCUAGGCUUAUCAUUUUUU
Ipomoea nil (Japanese morning glory) is the source of this 97-nucleotide long non-coding RNA. RefSeq lists it as uncharacterized. The record is from RefSeq and is a predicted model, not a curated record. The transcript is spliced from 2 exons. Lineage: Eukaryota; Viridiplantae; Streptophyta; Magnoliopsida; Solanales; Convolvulaceae.